UGAUGCGAUCAUACCAGCACUAAUGCACUUGAUCCUAUCAGAACACCACAGUUAAGUGUGCUUGGGCGAGAGUAGUACUAGGAUAGGUGACCUCCAGGAAAGUCUUCGUGUUGCAUCCC
RNAcentral lists this ribosomal RNA (119 nucleotides) under Arabidopsis thaliana (thale cress). Lineage: Eukaryota; Viridiplantae; Streptophyta; Magnoliopsida; Brassicales; Brassicaceae. The record is from RNAcentral.